GACGAACGCUGGCGGCGUGCUUAACACAUGCAAGUCGAACGGAGCGAAUGAAAGCUUGCUUUUAUGAGCUUAGUGGCAAACGGGUGAGUAACACGUAGACAACCUGCCGACAGGAUGGGGACAACAUUCCGAAAGGAAUGCUAAUACCGAAUGAAGCGGAUGGGAGGCAUCUCCUAUCCGUGAAAGAUGGCCUCUGAACAUGCUAUCACCUGUCGAUGGGUCUGCGUCUGAUUAGCUGGUUGGUGAGGUAACGGCUCACCAAGGCGACGAUCAGUAGCCGGUCUGAGAGGAUGAACGGCCACAUUGGGACUGAGACACGGCCCAGACUCCUACGGGAGGCAGCAGUGGGGAAUCUUCCGCAAUGGGCGCAAGCCUGACGGAGCAACGCCGCGUGAGUGAAGAAGGUCUUCGGAUCGUAAAGCUCUGUUGACGGGGACGAACGUGCGAGAGGUGAAUAAACUCUUGCAAUGACGGUACC
This 478-nucleotide ribosomal RNA is filed under the name Centipeda dianae. RNAcentral describes it as "bacterial SSU rRNA". It matches the Rfam family "Bacterial small subunit ribosomal RNA", at positions 28 to 479 of the family's 1533-position model. The record is from RNAcentral. Lineage: Bacteria; Bacillati; Bacillota; Negativicutes; Selenomonadales; Selenomonadaceae.